This 490-nucleotide ribosomal RNA is filed under the name uncultured bacterium. Its description in RNAcentral is "partial 16S ribosomal RNA". It matches the Rfam family "Bacterial small subunit ribosomal RNA", at positions 28 to 507 of the family's 1533-position model. The record is from RNAcentral.
GAUGAACGCUGGCGGCGGGCCUAAUACAUGCAAGUCGAACGGGAAGCAGAUCAAAGUUUGCUUUGGUCUGGUGAGGGUGGCGCGCGGGUGCGUAACGCGUGAGCAACCUACCCUUGUGAGGGGGAUAGGCCGGCGAAAGUCGGAUUAAUAACGCAUGACAGCAUCGAGAGGCAUCUUUGGAUGAUCCAAGAUUUAUCGGACAAGGAUGGGCUCGCGUGACAUUUGCUAGUUGGUAAGGUAACGGCUUAUCAAGGCGGCGAUGUCGAGGGGCGCUGAGAGGAGACGCCCCCAGACUGGUACCGGGACCCUGACCACUCUGCUACGGGAGGCAGCAGUAAGGAAUAUAGGUGAAGGGACGGAAGUCUAAACCAGCCAUGCCGGGUGCAGGAAGACCGCCCUAGGGAUUGUAAACUGCUUUUAUACAGGAACUAUCGUCGGUACGUGUACCGGUCUGACGGUACCGGAUGAAUAAGCAUCGGCUAACUCCGUG